UCGGCAUCCGAAACUCGUGGUCUUCCCGAACCACAUGAAGCCGACCUCACUACUCAUUGCCGCGGCGCCGCCGCGUUCACCGCACUCAUGCAUUCGGCCGUCCCACUCGCACACCGACACCGGGUUCCCUUGGGGACGGCGGCGACGAGGAGACCCGGCCCUUGGCGCCAACCGGCGGCCCCAUCGGUUCUCUACCUCGUGGCGCUAGUACCCCCACCCCCCCACGCGACGCAACAGCAUCGUACAGCGAUGACCGGAAGUGAGACAAUUCCUUCGAAAUACAGGCUGGAAAACCUGAGCUCUGUCAAUGCAAUUUUAAUACUAUUCAGUUGUGCUUCUGCACUGCUGCACAUAAGCAUAUGACGCUCCUUUUCUUCUCUGUUGGGCUGAUGUGGACUGGGAAUCCAUCCAGGUUUGGAGUGUUCUGGGAGUUUUGUUCUGGUCAAUCUAAUCAAAAUAUUGCUUUUUGAGUGGAUGCUCCAAUUGAUCCAGAUUGUUGGGUGUUUAUUUGCUUCCUGGCGGAGUACCAACAUCCAGUUUAUUUCCGAAACAAACAUUAAAAUUUGGUUGAUGACCUUUAAAGUACUGCAUAUAUGCAGUACCUCCAGCGGAGACUCAUGCAAACCCACUAGAGCAGAAGUCUAUUAGAAGUCUAUAAAUGGUUGAUGACCUUUAAAGUUUGAACAGAAUGUUGCUCCAAACAGGGCCAAAUCCCAAGUAUCUUAGUACCUGCAACAAGAAAGGCCAUGACAUGGAAUCGAAGGCCUUUGAGAUAUCCAACUUGAGGAGAACUCUCUGCUCUUUUUGCCAAUGGAGCAAUUUGGCUAUUUGUUGGACCAAGAUAAAUUUUUCAUGAAUGCACAUUCUUUUGACAUAAGCACUUUGAUUGGGAGACACCAAAUCCUUGAGCUUCCUAGCCAGCCUAUUGGCUAGCAGUUUGGUGAUAAGCUUGGAAAAGCUAUGGACUAGGCUUAUAGGGUGAAAGUCUUUGAUUUCCAUGGCAUCUGGAGAUUUUGGUAGCAGGUGAUAUAGGCUGAAUCCAGAAGGAAUAAUCUGCUCACAUCUCCCUGCAGAACUCGCCAUUGAUGGAUUUUUCAUGAUUUGGUUGCAAUGCUUUUUGGACUUGGUAUGUUCUCCCUCACCAUUACAUCACCUCAUUAUCCUCUAUUGUGAUUAGACCCGUCCGGAAAUUAAUUUUGGAACUUAGCUUGCUCAUGAGGGAUGAUAUGUGCUCUGUCUUCUCCUAAGUGGUUCGAUUUCUUGCAUUUCUAUUCUUUUAAUGUUUAACUAUAGCCCCACUUUGGGACCUUGCAUGUUUGAUUAUGAUUGUUCUUUUCUUGCAAAUACUAGAAUCCAUAUAUAUUAAACAAGUACAAGCUUUACAAGAACACCCUUGACAAAGGAAUUUAUAAACAUGCCCAAGGGGAGUUCAUCACCAUCUUUGACCUGCACAAUCCAACGGCGUGUCGUGGGCGUAGCUUGAUCCGCACAUGCCCUCUGUCGCCGAAACCAGAGAGUCAUUGUAACUUUCCCUAGGAAAUCAUUAUGUAUUGCCAGGAGAUGCCAAUGAUGACGUUCCGAAGCACGAAUCGUCAUCCUAGAGAAGAAGGCCACAUGAUGAGAGAACCAACCCCACAUCACGCUGGAAGUGUCAUCUAAAGAUCUUAUUGACAUGACCAUCGGCGUCACCGCGAGCCGAGGCGGAAGCAUCGAGGUUGACUCCUCCUCCCUCCCCCUCCACCCCAUUAUCUGCCGGAAUUGAUUUGGGAAACCAAUCCUCACGUGCUCCGAGGUGGCACCGAAGCCAGCAAUGGACUUGUUCCAUUGCGCUGUCGCAUCCACUGUUUUGAUGGGCGACAUAAGGACACCGAACCUAAUAACCUAAACCAAGGCUUCCCAUGAGGGCGCAAUCCAUGGUCUCUCGCGACUCUCGGUGCCGAAAUUGGCCGCCAGAGGCGAGGGAGACCGAUGGAAUCAGACAACGAGGAUGAGUGGUGACUAGGGAUACAUUAGACGGAUCAGAUGUCAGAGUAAGAAGACGCCACUGCUGCCUCGGACAAGGAAAAGUCUUAAAGAGUCACGCUCACAUGGCAAUUAGAAAAAAGUGGAAGUGUUUCUAUUUCUGAAACUGGAAUAUUUCUUCGGUUCGGUACUCAGUUUAAGGCCGCAAUAAACAAGCCCAAAUGAUAAGUGCCACACGUGUGGCACGAAGUAACACCGCCCUGACGUUUUUACAACUAAAAUUGCCAUCCGAAAAAAAAACCGAAACCCCCAAAAAAACUGAAACUUGCUAUCCAAACAGAAAGUUGCCAUGCUUCACAACUAAAGUUGCCAUCCCUGGGUAACUAAAGUUGCCAUCAGAAAAUGUCAGGGCGGAAUUGCUUCGUGCCACACGUGUGGCACUUGUAUUUAGACUCUUGGUCUCUUUCUUGUUAAUUACAUGGAAAGAGCAGCAUUGCAGUGAUACAAAUUAAAGCCACACAUCAUUACAGAUAAUUUAUAGAAGACAUUCCAUUUGAUAGUCUAAAUCAUACAUUAAAAUUAGUUCGACCAAACAUAACAUAACCUUGUUUCAGAUCCCAAAUGACAACCACCGAGUAAAAGUUAAAUGUGAUGUAAAACUGAACUCCAUGACUGCAGUACAGGCUGAUGCCAUGCCAUCUGCUAAUCUAAAUCAUACAUAGAAACUGGUUCUUCCUAACAUAUAGGAUAACCUUAUUUAUGAUCCCAAAAGAUAACAGAUAAAACUAAACUCCUUCUGACUAGCACAAUUUCACACACAGAAUGUGCAAGAAUCAGCAGGUAGAGGAGCAUCUCUCUGGAAGUUAGGGGCUAACGACCUAACUACAGCUCUCCACCCAAGAUAUUAACAUCGUUGAUUAAUAAAUCCUGCAGUCAGAAAAUAAGUUUAGUUAGAUGCAACCUUAUCUAACUCCGUACUGCUAGUACAUUUAUAUAUGUGCAAAGCCUGACAAAUUUAGAGAGAAGAUAGUAAAUGCCAAAACGAAAGCAGGCUCGGAAGAACAUGGGCAGGCAUCAUGCAGCAAAAGAAUGAGAAAGCUUCUUACUUCAUUAAGCAUGUUGUUCCUGGUAGAAAUGUCAUCCAUCAAAAAACAAUCAUUAACAGCUUCCCAGAAAUCAUCACUGUCGAUAUUCAGUUGACCAUCAACAGCUUCCUGAUUAGCUGUGCCUUGUGCUUGCACAGGGAGAACGCCGCCUGCACCACCAUCAUUCAGCAUCUGUGUUGGUUCGGCAGAAAUGCCCAUCUGAAUGUCAGGCAUUGCAGCACCGAUGCUUGAAGCACUACCAAGUGCGAAGUUACCAUUCAGCAUCUCCACCGAGCUUGUGUUGUUGUUGUUGUUGUUGUUGUUGUUGUUGAUUGCGAAGUUACCAUUCGGCAUCUCCACCGAGCUCAUGUUGCUGUUGAUUGCAAAGUUACCAUUCGCCAUCUCGACCGAGCUCAUACUGUUGUUGAUUGCGAAGUUACCAUUCGGCAUCUCCGCCGAGCUCAUGUUGUUGUUGAUAGCAAAGUUACCAUUCGGCACCUCGACCGAGCUCAUGUUGUUGUUGGUUGCCAAAUGACCAUUCGGCAUCUCCACCGAGCUUAUGUUGUUGUUGAUUGAUAAAUCCUGCAGUCAGAAAACAAGUUUAGUUAGAUGCAACCUUAUCGAACUUCGUACUGCCAGUACAUUUUUAUAUGUGCAAAGCCUGAAAAACUUAGAGACAAGAUAGUAAAUGCCAAAACGAAAGCAAGCUGGGUAAAACUGGGCAGGCAUCAUUCAGGAAAAGAACGGGAAAGCUUCUUACUUCAUCAAGCAUGUUGAUCGUGGGAGAACGCCGCCUGCACCACCAUCAUUCAGCAUCCGAGUUGGCACGGCAGAAAUGCCCAUCUGAAGGUCAAGCAUUGCAGCACCGAUGCUUGAAGCACUACCAAGUGCGAAGUUACCAUUCGGCAUCUCCACCAAGCUUGUGCCGCCGUCCAUUACGAGAUCAUUUCUCCAUGCCGUCCUCGGCUUCUUCCCGGUCGAUGGGUUUGGUGACAAGUUCUCCUUGUUCGCAUCAUGGCCAUCUUCAUCAUGUUCAUGACUCUUCGUCCAUCCACGCUUGGUGCUCUUUGCACCGUCCUGCUCGCCGCCGCCGGGUCCUCCUGUAGGCUGCGCCUUCUCAGCGGCAGCAUUACGGAUGCUGCUGCUGAGUCUCCAUGGUUGAGGGGUUCUCCUCGCCAUGACAUGCCGCCACAUGAUAUCGAGGUGCUUGGUUUGCACCGGUUUCACCAGGUACUCGCACGCCCCGUGAGCUAUGCCUUUCUUCAUAGCCUCGGGCCUCUCGUCCGCUGAUAACACUGCACAUAUCAUAUCAUAUCAUAUCAUAUCAUCAGUGGUUCAGUUUGGCAACACAGGAUUAAAAAAAACAACACUACUGCACCACUGAAUGUCGAUCCCUGUGGAUUAAGAUCAGAAAAAAAGUGUUCAUUUGAUGAACUCUUGUCUUUUCCAUAUAUGGAUGCGGAAACUGUAAGCAGACGCGUUAUACAUGUUGAACAAACAUCAAACGUGUCAAAGAAACUCUGCAAUGUUCUAUUCUGUUCCAAAGUGGAAAUCACGCAGGAAUCAAGCUCAUAUCAUGACAAUUAAAAGCUGAUCUGCAAUUCAAACGGCUAGGAUUUGACAUACUAUCCUCCCUCUCUCCUUGAGCUAGUAUGUGGCAACAGGUUUCUCAAGGAGAGAGGGAGGCCCAGAUACUAGGUGUGCAGCUGAUCGCAUCAGCAAAGCAGAGUGGAGCUACCGAGCUAGGUGAUGUCGCCAAAAAAGAAGCGACCAUAUCAAGUGCCUUGGCGAUGGCGAUCUUGAGCAAGAUAUCAACUUCUCUUUUGAAGUAGCCGGGCGGUCUGGCGAACGAGGGGGAAAUUAUCGUGCGUUGUUUGCUUCUUCAAAAGGCACCCUGAAUGUACGAUACCAGAUCGGAGUGAAAGUACCUUGGAAACGAUCUUCACAAAGUUAUCAACUACUCCCUCCGUCCCAUAAUAUAAGAGUGUUUUUUACACUAAACUAAUGUAAAAAAAAUGCUCUUAUAUUAUAGACGGAGGGAGUAGUAUUUGAAGUUACUAAAGAACGUGUUUGGCUCAACCCCUUUUUUGUUAAGUUAUCUGAUUACAAUGUUACCUGAUUACCUUAAACUUGUUUGUUUGUAAAAGUUAUCAACUAGUAUUUGAAGUUACUAAAGGACUUCUUUGGUUCA
Non-coding RNA from Triticum urartu, 5238 nucleotides. NCBI's taxonomy places the organism in Eukaryota, Viridiplantae, Streptophyta, Magnoliopsida, Poales, Poaceae. The record is from RefSeq and is a predicted model, not a curated record.